This 288-nucleotide small RNA is filed under the name Phaeobacter gallaeciensis. Its description in RNAcentral is "5' ureB small RNA". It matches the Rfam family "5' ureB small RNA". The record is from Rfam by way of RNAcentral. Lineage: Bacteria; Pseudomonadati; Pseudomonadota; Alphaproteobacteria; Rhodobacterales; Roseobacteraceae.
GUCUUCGAUCUGCUGCGGGCAGAUGUAAUGGAUAUGGCUGUCAAAGCCGCCCGCCGUCAGGAUCCGCCCUUCGCCUGCGAUCACCUCGGUGCCGGGGCCGACGAUGAUAUCGACGCCGGGCUGGGUGUCCGGAUUGCCGGCCUUGCCGAUCUUGUGAAUACGCCCGUCCCGCAGGCCGACGUCGGCCUUGUAGAUGCCGGUGUGAUCGACGAUCAGCGCAUUGGUGAUCACCGUGUCCACGGCGCCUGCCGCGCGGGUGGCCUGGGAUUGUCCCAUGCCGUCGCGGAU